This 227-nucleotide long non-coding RNA is filed under the name Vigna radiata. RNAcentral describes it as "long non-coding RNA (VRAD_LNC002404)". Lineage: Eukaryota; Viridiplantae; Streptophyta; Magnoliopsida; Fabales; Fabaceae. The record is from RNAcentral.
GAACGUGAACGGACGGACCAAGAUCGAUACCAGGGACGACCGGUCGAAAGAAUCUGAUCGAAUCGGAAAAAGGACCUCCAGGGACGCCCAUUCAACCAAGAUCGACCAAAGCGGCCAGACGGUCCCAUAAUUAAACCUUGGUCGAUUAAGACAUGAAAGCAUUGUGAUCAGAGUAGGUAACCAGUAACUAUCCGGCCGGUUAAUACAAGGUCAGUAACUACACGAAG